AGUGAACGCUGGCGGUAGGCCUAACACAUGCAAGUCGAACGGCAGCACAGUAAGAGCUUGCUCUUACGGGUGGCGAGUGGCGGACGGGUGAGGAAUACAUCGGAAUCUACUUUUUCGUGGGGGUUAACGUAGGGAAACUUACGCUAAUACCGCAUACGACCUACGGGUGAAAGCAGGGGAUCUUCGGACCUUGCGCGAUUGAAUGAGCCGAUGUCGGAUUAGCUAGUUGGCGGGGUAAUGUCCAACCAAGUCGACGUUCCGUAGCUGUUCCGGGAGAAUGAUCAGCCACACUGGAAAUGCGAGACGGUCCAGAAUCCUAUGGGAAGCAGCAUUGGGGAAUAUUGUACAAUGGGCACUAGCCUGAUCCAACCAUACCGGGUGGGUGAAGAGGGCCUCCGCGUUGUAAACCCAUUUUGUUGGGAGAGAAAAGCAGCAGGUUAGUACCCUGCUGUUCUGACGGUACCCAAAGAAUAAGCACCGGCUAACUUCGUG
RNAcentral lists this ribosomal RNA (492 nucleotides) under uncultured bacterium. RNAcentral describes it as "partial 16S ribosomal RNA". It matches the Rfam family "Bacterial small subunit ribosomal RNA", at positions 29 to 507 of the family's 1533-position model. The record is from RNAcentral.